UUAAUUAAUAUGUUAAUUAAUCAAACGAAUAAGUUCGUUAAAGACCUCGGGAUAGUUUUGGACCUUAAGGCCUAAUGGGCUUCGAACGUGAAGCCCAUUAACUUAAGUUGUAUGACAACUUAAUGAAUAAUGAUUCACAAAGGCCCAAUUAGUCCAAAAUAUCCUAAUGGCCGGCCAUGAUGCUAAGGGUAGUGAACUUGGACUUAUUUACAAGUUUGCCACUCAAAUGAAUAA
RNAcentral lists this long non-coding RNA (234 nucleotides) under Malus domestica (apple). RNAcentral's name for it is "long non-coding RNA (MDOM_LNC004385)". Lineage: Eukaryota; Viridiplantae; Streptophyta; Magnoliopsida; Rosales; Rosaceae. The record is from RNAcentral.